RNAcentral lists this ribosomal RNA (779 nucleotides) under Phlebotomus papatasi. Its description in RNAcentral is "SSU rRNA". It matches the Rfam family "Eukaryotic small subunit ribosomal RNA", at positions 291 to 913 of the family's 1831-position model. Lineage: Eukaryota; Metazoa; Arthropoda; Insecta; Diptera; Psychodidae. The record is from RNAcentral.
UUGAUCAUUCAAAUGUCUGCCCUAUCAACUAUUGAUGGUAGUAUAGAGGACUACCAUGGUUGCAACGGGUAACGGGGAAUCAGGGUUCGAUUCCGGAGAGGGAGCCUGAGAAACGGCUACCACAUCUAAGGAAGGCAGCAGGCGCGUAAAUUACCCAAUCCCGGCACGGGAGGUAGUGACAAAAAUAACAAUACAGGACUCACAUCCGAGGCCCUGUAAUUGGAAUGAGUACACUUUAAAUCUUUUAACAAGUAACAAUUGGAGGGCAAGUCUGGUGCCAGCAGCCGCGGUAAUUCCAGCUCCAAUAGCGUAUAUUAAAGUUGUUGCGGUUAAAACGUUCGUAGUUGAAUUUGUGUCCCACACGGGUAAUGCACCCAAGUGCGGGUUUUGCAUUACUUGUUGCACUGUGCGUUCUGUGUAAAAGCAAGCGUAUAGUGUGACUUUAAGUGUGACGGAUGUUUUACCGGUGAGGGAAACGACUAAUUAUGCCCCUAUAUUGACUUUCGAGUUUGAUAUAGGUAAAGCAUAUUAAUACGCCCCUUAUGUUAAAAGACCCAUUUUAGUGCUCUUUACCGAGUGCUAUUGUGGGCCGGUACAAUUACUUUGAACAAAUUAGAGUGCUUAAAGCAGGCUAAAUUUAAUGAAAAUUAAAACGCCUGAAUAUAUUUUGCAUGGAAUAAUGGAAUAUGACCUCUGGUCUAUUUGAUAGGUUUUUAGAUGCCAAGAGGUAAUGAUUAAUAGAAGCAGUUGGGGGCAUUAGUAUUACCAGGCGAGAGGUG